AGCCUGUCGAGCGCCGCCCGUACGCUGCACCCGCAGCCACGCACUCGAGGCCGAGCUCCCGAGCGUGCCGCCGCCUCGACCUCGCGACCCGCCGGCGACCGGAUCCUCGCCGGAGAUGAGUGCCGCCGUGCCCUGCUCCCUCCUCUCUUCCUCUGUCUCCUCUCACCUCGCUCAUCCCCCAAUCUCUCUGUCCCCAGGACGAACAGGAGCAUGCCAUGGCCUCGGAUCCGCGCCGCCGUCGCCGGAGAACGUCGCCCGCCACCGGUUCUUCGACCACAACUACCGGAUCAAGUUGCCCCGCCUCCGAUCUACCCGUUCCCGGCCACCCCAACCUCGCCUCGUCAUUGGGCGCGCAGAGAGACGGUGGCCAAGGUGGCUGCCCGAUUGCCGAGCGCCGCCGGCCAAGGACCCGCCGGCGUCCAGACCCCCUCCACGCCAUCCCCAUCUCGCCGGAGACCUGCUCCAAGUCUGGCCGCCCUCCAAACAGAAAAUCAGUUUAUAUAGGUAUAUGACAAAAAAUACUGCCUGUCGUCAGUACGCGGAGACAGAGGCCAAGGAUGACCGGCAACUCAUGGAGGAGGACACCUCAAAUCAGUCUGGGAAGUUGUCGUCGUUUUCCUCGGGCAGCAAUGCAAAAUAUUGUAAUGAUACUUAUCAAUGUUUUUAUUUGGUUGUGCAGUACUCGCUAGGUGCUUGACGAAAUUCUCAUAUGAUGCAUGUGGCAAGGUUCCUAGAGGAUAAUGUAGAUUAAUGAUUCCAUGGAGAGCUGCCAGAAUCUUCAAUUGGAGGCAAUUAAAGACGGACCUCACCGGAUUGGAUUUGUCUAGCAUUCCAGCUAAGUUUCAAGGUAGCUUUAAGACUCCAUGCAAACAAUCACUGAUUAGUAGGUAGUAGGCAUGCAGUUUCAGUUAAACCGAAGCUUAAUCCACAUACAUUGUUCACUGGAGGUAUCCGUGCCAUUACACUCAUCCCUCUGUGUGAGUGACACAACUAUGUACUGCUAUAAAAACACUGGAGUGCCCAACAAUAUCUUAUAAUGGCUUUGGUACGUGGCAGUAUGAGGCCUGGGAUAAUGUUUACUUGUGAUUCACAAAAUGGAAGAAAUUAAGGAAACAUGUCACGUUCAUUGUCGCCUGGUUUACGGUAACUGGUGUUGCCCCCUCCCUUGGAAUCUCUCAGAUCUAUGGCAUAGCCAGUUCUCCAUCCCGCAGUUUUCGCAUGUUGCAACGCACUGGCUCUUUUGUAGGACCAUCGUCGACAUAGACAAGUUCUGCUUCAAGGACGAGACAUAGAAGAAGGCUCGACAAGAGGAAGGAAGCAGGUGUGGUUUAGCAACGUACCUCAUACAUGGUCAGUUGCUGACAAAGGAGGGCAGAAUUGGAUUACAAAGGCUAAAGAUGGUACCAUCUGGCUCUCGCACUAGAGUUUUUCUGGAUGUUGGCUUUGGAGUAACAAGUUUUGGGCCAUACUUAAUUUCACGUGAAUUUGAGCAUGGUGUUCCUGCAAUGGUGGCAACUAAUUUAACACCGGCUAUUAUCCAAUGUUCCCGCUGUAGAAUAAAUUCGACAUGUGAUGGUGAGCUGAGAGAUGGAGGACCUAGCUCUCAAACGGACCAUGUUGGGAGAUUGUGAGGAAAAUAUGUUUCUAUGUGGAGGAAGCCUUUUAUAAUUAACUCAUGGUACAUGAGUCGUGAUCCUAGGGUCAAACAUCCACUUUGUGAUACUGAUGAUAAUUCCAGAUAAUGUCUGGUAUUUUGAACCCCACCUGGCAUGCUUUUAAUUGUUAAGCCUCAAUUCAAGGACUAAAUUCAGAAUAUGUAUUAAGAAAGUAGUCCAUACUUUUUUUAGAUUUGUUUUGAACAUUUGCAUAAUUAUGCAAUUAUCUCUUGCAAAGUGUAGUCUCAUGAUUUCGACUUA
This is a non-coding RNA of Triticum urartu, 1916 nucleotides long. Lineage: Eukaryota; Viridiplantae; Streptophyta; Magnoliopsida; Poales; Poaceae. The record is from RefSeq and is a predicted model, not a curated record.